RNAcentral lists this ribosomal RNA (819 nucleotides) under Klebsiella pneumoniae. Its description in RNAcentral is "bacterial SSU rRNA". It matches the Rfam family "Bacterial small subunit ribosomal RNA", at positions 62 to 866 of the family's 1533-position model. The record is from RNAcentral. Lineage: Bacteria; Pseudomonadati; Pseudomonadota; Gammaproteobacteria; Enterobacterales; Enterobacteriaceae.
UCGAACGGUAGCACAGAGAGCUUGGCUCUCGGGUGACGAGCGGCGGACGGGGUGAGUAAUGUCUGGUUUGAUUCCUGAUGGGAGGGGAUUUACUCGUUUUAGAUCCCGUCUACUUCCGCUAUUGAUUGACGAAAACAAUCCGUGGGACAUGCUGGCGUAAUAGCUUGUUUGUGCCAAAGAUAGGAUUAGCUACGUCGGACAGUCAAAUAUCACUUAGGCCACGCGUUCUAUAUGAUCCGAUAGGGAGACCGCACACCAUCAAAAGAGGCACUGUCUCGUCUUCUACUAGUGGCCGCUGUAGUGUAUAAGCACAAAGUGUGCAAGCAUCAUGCAACCAUUCUGCGAGUAUUACGAAGGCCGUAGGGUUCUAUAGUACUUUCUCGCUGGGAGGACGGCGAUAAGGAAAAUAACCUUGUCGAUUGUUGUUACCCGCAGAAGAAACACAGGCUAACUCAGUUCCAGCAGCCGCGGUAAUACGGAGGGUACAAGCGUUAAUCGGAAUUAUUGGGCGUAAAGCGCAAGCAGGCGGUCUGUCAAGUCGGAUGUGAAAUCCCCUGGCUCAACCUGGGUACUGCAUUCGAAACUGGCAGGCUAGAGUCUUGUAGAGGGGGGUAGAAUUCCAGGUGUAGCGGUGAAAUUCGUAGAGAUCUGGAGGAAUACCGGUGGCGAAGGCGGCCCCCUGGACAAAGACUGACGCUCAGGUGCGAAAGCGUGGUGAGCAAGGAGGAUUAGAUACCCUGGUAGUCCACGCCGUAAUCGAUGUAGGGUUUGGAGGUUGUGCCCUUGAGGCGUGGCUUCCGGAGCUUACAGCUUAAAUCG